CCUAAUCAUGCAACCUCGAGCGAACAGAAGGGAGCUUGCUCCCGGAUGUUAGCGGCGGACGGGUGAGUAACACGUGGGUAACCUGCCUGUAAGACUGGGAUAACUCCGGGAAACCGGAGCUAAUACCGGAUAGUUCCUUGAACCGCAUGGUUCAAGGAUGAAAGACGGUUUCGGCUGUCACUUACAGAUGGACCCGCGGCGCAUUAGCUAGUUGGUGGGGUAAUGGCUCACCAAGGCGACGAUGCGUAGCCGACCUGAGAGGGUGAUCGGCCACACUGGGACUGAGACACGGCCCAGACUCCUACGGGAGGCAGCAGUAGGGAAUCUUCCGCAAUGGACGAAAGUCUGACGGAGCAACGCCGCGUGAGUGAUGAAGGUUUUCGGAUCGUAAAGCUCUGUUGUUAGGGAAGAACAAGUGCGAGAGUAACUGCUCGCACCUUGACGGUACCUAACCAGAAAGCCACGGCUAACUACGUGCCAGCAGCCGCGGUAAUACGUAGGUGGCAAGCGUUGUCCGGAAUUAUUGGGCGUAAAGGGCUCGCAGGCGGUUUCUUAAGUCUGAUG
Molecule: ribosomal RNA, 564 nt
Filed under: uncultured Bacillus sp.
Lineage: Bacteria; Bacillati; Bacillota; Bacilli; Caryophanales; Bacillaceae
Description: bacterial SSU rRNA
Rfam family: Bacterial small subunit ribosomal RNA
Source: RNAcentral